UAUACCCCGCGGAGCAGCAGUGCGCGUGCAUGCUGGCCUCUCAGUCAAGCGUUUUCUGUGUCACCAACGCCACCAUGGUUCCUCAGAGGGUCAUCUUUCUUCUUGUUCUGGUCGCUUGUCUGUCUCACGUUUUGGGUUCUGUUGCUGAGCUCGAGGAGAGUCGUGCACAGGGACUGCUGCUGGCGCGUGUGAUCAGACGAGCGGCUCGUAUUCUUUCGGGGGGAAAGAAAGCAACCUUGGCUGAGGAAGGUGGUUCAGGCUGUUGCCCUGACAGUCAUGUGAAGGGGAAUCUGUGGUAAGAAACGCAGGCUGGAUCUGGCUCUGGAUCUGGCCCUACAAGACUCUAAUGGAUGGAAAAGGAUAAAGGUUACACUGCAGUCCAUGUGAAGGUUUCUUCAGCAUCCCAUAACUAUGCAAAUAUCAGUCUGUGCAAGAGUCCACAGUAUUUGUUGUGAACACCAUAUUGCUCCUUCUGGUCCUCAAUAAAAAAUAAAGAUAAAUCAUUGUG
Molecule: long non-coding RNA, 508 nt
Organism: Astyanax mexicanus (Mexican tetra)
Lineage: Eukaryota; Metazoa; Chordata; Actinopteri; Characiformes; Acestrorhamphidae
Exons: 4
Source: RefSeq, a predicted model, not a curated record